CUCACAGGGGCAUUGUCGUCAUUUUUCUUUGAAAAUACAGAAACUCGCCAAAAACAUGGUGUAAAUGCUAAAUAUGUUCAUACAUACUUAAAAUCAGAUAACUGAAGUAUAAAAUUACUUUUACAGUGACACGUGAGCCCACAUCUAACCAAAAUGCAUCAAAAGUUGAAAACCUACAGCUUUUGCAGAUUCAAGUCCAAAUGAAGGUCCUUGUCAAAGUCAGCUGACUAUGGAAUUCCCCGAGCCAGAAAUAUGAGGAAAGGAGGGUGGUGAGAUUAUCAAAUCUCAAUUAGUAAACAAUUACCAUCAAAAGCAUCUAAAGCCGAGAAGAUAGAGACAAUAUAAAAACGUUACAUCUCAAUAAUGUUCAUAAUGCAAAAUUCAUUUCAAUCUGUACCAAUGUAAAGCCCGACUUUAUAAAAUACUUGUCAUGACAUACAUGUGAUGGAUAGCAUGUUUGCAUGCUAGGAGAGUCUCGAAAAAUUUACAAAAGUCGGUAUUGUACCUAGAGGUACAACAAAGUUGAUUUAAGCCUUGAACUAGUUCAAAUAGGAAUUUUAAGGUGAAAUUGAGAGUUUCACGGUCCAGGGAUGACUCAAAUUGGUAAUUCGGAGUUCGAGAAUUAAUUCGAAGUCAAAUCAAAAUUUUCACUAUCUAGGGGUAAAAUGGUAAUUUUGACACCUAAGGAUAAAAUUGGAAUAUUGGAAGAAGUUUUUGAUCAAGAUUGAUCACAUUUGACUCAUUGGACUAUAAUUUGAGGUUGAUAAGUGAAAAAAAUUGUAAUCCCGGUAUUUUCAGAGCAUAGGGGUAAAAUGGUAAUUUUGCCACCUCAGGGGCAAAAUUGUAAUUUUACACACCCGACACUUGUCCAGCACAUGGAUUUUAUCCAAUAUUAUCAUGGAUAAUUGAAGGAAUUUAAGUGGUGGAGAGAGAAAGCUUAAUAGUUAAGAAAUUAAAAAUGGACCAAUGGGAUGGUGACAUGUGUCAAGUUAAUAUCUAUUUAUUUUUUUAGCUUUAAAAUCAGCAAAAAUCAGCUUAUUUUCUCUUCAUGUGGCCAGCCAUAGCAAGAAAAAAGAGAGGAAAAGAAAAACAAGAAACCUAGGUGGGAAAAUUAAAGAAAAAGUGUAUGAUUUCAAGGAAUCAAGCAAUCAAAGGUAAAAUUUCUUGAUUUUGACUUGUGAUCUACCUUUCCCAUGCUUUUCUCCUUAUUUUUCAUGGUUAGAUUUCAUGUUUUCAUGGUAAAUUCAUGGCUGCCCAAAUGGGUAUGGAGAGAGAAUGAAGUUAGAUUGAUUUGAUUUUAAGUUAUGUUAGUGUUUUAAGUUAGUUUAGCAUAUUUAGAAACAAAACAACAAGAAAAGAAUUCAUUUUCCCCCAUUACCAUCAUUGGCUGAAUUUCCUAGGGAGAAUAUUGUGGCUGAAUUUGAUGAUAUUUCAUGAUUUUUUGGUGAUAUUUGAUGUUUGGUGAGGCUAGAAAUUAAAUGGGAAAUUUUGGUGCAAAAAUACGAAUUUUUGCUCAACAUAUAGACAUGUGUAAUUAUUGACCCGGGACCGAUAAAUUGAACCUCAUUCACAUUCAUUGAGGUAAUUUAGAUAUAAUUGGAGUGUAGAAAGUGAAAAGAAUCGAUUUGGAAUUAAAUUGAAGAUUUUAGCCGAUUAGACCGAGAAUAGUGUGAAUUAGGUCGAAUAUCGUAUUUAAACGGCUAUUCGGAUAUUUUUGCAUUCCAUAUCAUGCAUUAGUAGUCUAAAUUAGUUUAAUUUCAAUUUAAUAUCAAUGUGGUGAAUUUCUCAAUUUUGUACUGUGUCAAGGUGGUGAGUCCUCUGAUAAACGCAAAGAAAUUGCAUCCGAGGACCAGUAGACAGAAUACUUCGAAAGUCUGCAUUCUAGACAUUGUGAGUAAACUUACUGUCAUUUUAAUUAUCUAAGGUGGUUUUUAGAUGAUUUUAUGAAUUCUAUGGAAAAAUAGAUUUAAAAGGUAAAUUUUCAUGUUUUAUGAAUAAAGGUGUUCCAAUGAAAUUAAAUUAUAAAUUGUUUUGAAAUUAAUAAUGAUUUUGAAAAAAAUAGAGUACGCGGAGACUGUUAAUUGUGGCAAUUUGAUUGUUUAAAUUGAUGGCUUAUGUUAUAUUGUUAUUGUGUUGGCAUAACUGGCUAGGCUAUGUUUUAUGAAUUGUAUGAAUUGUUUUAUUUUACCCUUGCAGGCUAGGUAGUAUUUCAUUAGCCCUGUCAUGCUAUCAAAACUUUAUUAUAUGGUAGAUUAUAUAUUAAUUAAUCACUACAGUAGGGUGUUUCUGUGGACCAGCCUUUUAGAAGGGCACAAUAAACCCCAUUAUAUUCUUACCUUGAACGGAGAGGCGCGUAGGGUAUCUCUUGGGGUAAAGUUUAGGGUUCACUUCACGUUAAACCACCACGUGAGGGUGAACUCAGCCAACGCCAAGAAACGGCUGUGAUGUCCAACGAAAAAUGUGUUUUAUGUGAAAUGUGAAUUUUUAACAGCCUUGGCCGUCUCGGUAGGAUGCCUCAGCCAAGGUGUCCUCGAGGAUGGAUUUAUGGCACAAGCCUAGUUUUUAUGAGAUUCAUAAGCCUCUUUACGUAUUUUAAAUGAAAUGUAAUCUAACGUUGUGACCCAGUUUACGAUGAUUUACUUUAUUAUCUCAACGUACUCAACUCUAGAUGUUUAUGAUGAUGUCUGUUUACUUAUUAGGAUUUUAUAAUCUCACCACCCUCAUUUCCAUCCAUUUCAGGUUCAGUAUAAACUAUAGAUAGCUAAUCUCAUCGAGGACUACCGUUGGAUCUGCAUUUUCCAAACCGUAGGUUCACAGUCCUUUUUACUUUUGUUUAUUCGAGGGCCCUCUUGUUAUUGUAAAUUAAAUUAAAUAUUUUGGCUUACUGUAUUACAGUAUGUAUAAAUUAUUUAGCUUUUACGCUACAAAAAUUAUUUACGUAUAACUCUAAAAAUAUUAUUUCAUAAGAAAAUAGAAUAUUUUACUUAAUAUUUCUUUUAUUUUCUUAUUAUAUUCAAAUAACCAUAAUUUCGUUUUAAAUGAAGAUUUUAGACUUUAAGACUCACUUUUGAUUAUGAAUUAUAUGUUUCGUACUUGUAUAUUACUAGCCGGUUUCGAAAUUUUUGGGAAAAAAUUACUAAAAUACCCUUGUGAGACGAAAAUUAUUAUUUUAUUUGUUUUGAGUUGGAAACAACUUAAAAUCUUCUAGAACAUGAUUUUCGACAACGGUUACUCACGGGGGAAAUGAGAUACUGAUAUUAAGCCUUGCGGGGUCCCAGUUAGCAUUCCCGAAAAUGAGUGUCUAUCGGGGUACCGCGGUGGUUGUCACGGGCUCGAGGGGAGUACCGGGUCAUGACAACCAAAUAAUUUCUUUUCAUCAAGAUUUCUCUAGCUUAUGAGUUUCUUAAACUUGGCCUCUGCCAGAAUCAUUCUCGCGGGUACCUUCGUCAAGGUAUCCCACUGAGACCACCAAGGCUGUUAAAUAUCCCAUACCCAUAAACAUGUUUUCGUAUCUGACACACAGCCGUUCCUUGGCGUUGGCUGAGUCUCACUCUCAAGUGGUGGCUUGAACAUGAGGUGCACUCAAAUCUUACCUCAGGAGAUUCUUCCUCCAACAUCUCCCCCCGAAGGUAAAUAUAUAAUUGGGUUACCGUACCCCUCUCAUAGGCAGUACACGAAAACCCCCACCACUGCAGUGACCAUUUAAUAUACCACCAGACCCAUAAAAUUUUCAGUAGCAUAAUAUGGCAAAUAAAAUUUAAUCCAGUCUACCGAGACCAAUCCAAAACUGUUCAUAUAUUUCAUGCCAACUCCAAAAAUUUAGCCAUCAUGCUACCAUAGUGUCAUAAGCCAUAAUUUCAAUAACAUAUAAAAUCAUAAAUUCAACACUGUCUCCAUAUACUCAAUUUUUCCAAAAUAAUAUUUGAUUUCAAAACUAGUAUAAAUCUCAUUUUUAUUAAAAAAAACAUUUAAAUUGGAAAACAUAAUAUUUUAUAAUUUAAAUUCACCAUUCAAUAAAAGCAUCAAACAAGUAUAAUUACUCUAGAUAUUAAAAACGAUAAAUUGUCCACUCACAGUUCUAGGAGUCGAUAUACUCCUAAUCCUAGUCUUCAAGCACAAUCUCUGUACUUUUACAAGUGUAAUUUGCUCACCACCUAUCCACAAUGUACAAUACAUAAUUCACCACAUUAAUGCUUGACCAUUAUAAAAUCAAUUCAAGCUCGGUGUAUAUGUAUGAUAUGAUAUGCAACUUAUCCGACUACCGCUUAAAUGUGGUGCUGACCUAAUUCGGCCUAUUACCUGAUUAAAUGACAAUUGUGUUCGAUUUGGCUCCAAAUUGCUCCAUUUCAUUUCUAAUAUUUCAAUUCACUAAAUACAAUUCCAAUAAUCUAAAAUUCAGCCUAACAACCCUCACAAUUCUUCUUGAAAAUUUUGGCCAUUGUGGUGCACUAUCACUAAAAAUUUUCCCAUUCUAUUUUCUCACCAUAAAUCAUCAUUUCAUCAAUUUUUCAACCAAUUCACUUGAUCACAAAAUCAAUUCAUUACUUCUACACUUCACAUAGGGUUCGACCAUUGAAGGUUCAUGGGGGAAAAUGGAUUCCUUUCAUGUUGUUUUGCUUCUAAAUAUGCUAAACUAACUAAAAACACUAACAUAUCUUAAAAUCAAAUCAAUCUAACAUUUUUCUCUCUCCAUACCCAUUUUGACCAGUCAUGAAUUCAUCAUGAAAACAUGUAAUUUAACCAUGAAAAAUGAGGAGCAAUGCUGUCACGACCCAGAACUCCUAUCGGGCCCGUGACAACCGUCGCGACGUCUCAAUAGACACUCGUUACCCCGAAUGCCGAUCGAAACUUCGCAAGGCUUAGUAUCAGCUUUCGCAUCUCCCCGGUGAGCGACAGUUAUUAAAUCUCGCAUUUCAAGAAAUCAUAAGUCGUUUUCAAAUCAAAAUAAUAAAAUAUUAUUUUCUGACUCACAAGGGCAUUUUCGUCAUUUUUCUUCAAAAAUAUCGAAACCCGCCAAAAGCAUGGUGUAAAAGAUAAAUAUGUUCAUACAUACUUUAAAGCAGAUAAUUGAAGUAUAAAAUUACUUUUACAGUGACACAUGGGCCCCCAACUGACUAAGAAGGUGUAGGGCUACGAACCCUUACUUUCUAGGACGAAACUCCGAGAUUAAUUCUCGUCUUAAUCAACUAUCAACAAACUAUUCUGAGCCUGAAAAAUGGAUAGGAAGAGGGGUGAGAUUAUGAUUACAUAAUCCCAGUGAGUAAACAGACACCAUCUAAACUAUCUAAAGGCAAGUAAAGGGAGACAAUUAAAAAUAGUUCAUUUCAGCAAAUUUUUCACAACACGAAUAUUAAUUUCAACCAAAUAAUCAAUAUGGCUCGUGAAUUUCUCAAAACUUGGCUCCUGCCAAAAUCAUUCUUGCGGGUAUCUUCGUCAAGGUAUCCCACUGAGACCGCCAAGGCUGUUAAAAAUUCAUAUUUCGCAUAAAACACAUUUUUCGUUGAACAUCACAGUCGUUCCCUGGUGUUGGUUGAGUCUCACUCUCACGUGGUGGUUAACAUGAAAUGCACUCAAAAAGCCCACCUCAGGAGAUACCCUACACGCCUCUACGACUGAGAAUAUAAAGGAGUUUACCGUGCCCCUCUAAUAAGCUGGUCCACAGAACCCCUACCACUGCAGUAGCUAAUCUUUAAUCCACCAAUUGAUCAAAUCUUAAUGGCAUAGCAUAGCAAUUACAUUACUAACCAAUUUAUCAAGGCAAAACAGAUAGUUCAUAUUUUUCAACACAGGUAUAAAUUCAGCCAAUCAUGCCAAUUUAUCACAAGCCAUUUAAUUCAAAUCAUAAUUUACAAUAAAUCACAUGGUCUCCAAUUACUCAAAUUUUCAAAGCCAUCAUUCAAUUUCAAGACAAUUUUAUGAAAUUAUUUUAUAAAAUCACAAUUUCUCCUAAAACAUAGCAAUUUACCAUUUAAACCCAUUUUCUACAAAAUCACACAAUUGUAUAAAACUACUCUAGAUAAUUAAGACGAUAAUAAGUUCACUCACAGUAUUUGGAGUAGAAAUGCUCCUAUUUUCAGUCCGCAAGUACAGUCCUUUACCCGUAUCCAAUGGCUCACCACCGAGCCAUAAUCCAUGACACAUAUUCCAAUUAAAUUGUAUCAACAGUCAUAAGCUAUUUUAGGCUCGAUAUAUAUAUGCAUGAUAUGAAAUGAAAAAUACACAGGUAGCCAUCUACACCCGGUAUUGGCCUAAGUCGAUUUUUCAUCCGAUAAAUUGGCCAAUGCAUCCAAUUUCACUCCAACUUGCUCCAUUUCUUUUCUAAUCCCUCAAUUCACCAAGCACAACUAAUUAACACACAAUUAGGCAAAUUUAUCUUCACUUUUCUUCUUGGAACUUUCGGCCAUUGUGGUGCACUAUCACUAAAAAUUUUCCCAUUCCAUUUUCUCACCAUAAAUCAUCAUUUCAUCAAAUUUUCAACUAAUUCACUUGAUCACAAAAUUAAUUCAUUACUUCUACACUUCAUAUAGGGUUUGGCCAUUGAAGGUUCAUGGGGAAAAUGGAUUCUUUUCUUGUUGUUUUAUUUCUAAACAUGUUUAACUAACUCUAAACACCAACAUAACUCAAAAUCAAACAAUUCCAACAUCUUUCUCUCUCCAUACCCAUUUUGACCAGCCAUGAUUUCAUCAUGAAAACAUGUAAUUUAACCAUGGAAAUUAAGGGAAAAUGCAUGGGUAAGGUAAAUCACUAGCAAAAUCAAAGAAAUUUUACCUUUGCUUGAUCAAAUCCUUGAAUUCCAACACUUUCUCUUUGAUUUUUCCCACCUAGGGUUUGUUCUUCCUUGGUUUCUCAUCUCUUCUGGUUUGGCUGAUCACUAUGGGAGAAAUGGGCUGAUUUUUUACCUUUUUAUAAAGAAAUAAUAAUAUAGUAAAAACAUGACACAUGGCAUUUCCUUAUUGGUUCAAAUUUUAAAUAUUUGACUUUUAAUUCUUUAAUUCUCCACCACACAUUUCUCAUGUUUAUCCAUUUCCAUGAUGAAUAAAAUCCCUUGGUCUGGAGAAAUGUCGGGGUGAAAAUUUACCGAUUUGCCCCCGGGGUGGCAAAAUUACCAUUUCGUCCCUAUACUCCAAAUUAUACCGAAAUUAAAAUUUUUCACUUCUAAAACUCAAAUCAUACUCCAAUAAGUCAAAUGGGGCCAAAAAAUCUUUUUUAAAAAUUUCCAUUUUUGUCCCCAAGUAGCAAAUGAUCAUUUUGCCCCUAGAUAGUGAAAAUUCUGAUUUCACUCCAAAUUGAUCAUUGAACUCUGAAUUACCAUUUUGAGUCAUCCCUGAACUGUGAAACUCUUAAUUUCACCUUAAAAUUCCUAUUUGAAUUAGUUCGAGGCUUAAUCGACUUAAUGGUAACAUUAGGGGCAAUAUCGUCUUUUAACGAUUUCUCAAACUUCCUAAAUAUGCAAACAUUCUAUUGAGCAUGUAAAUGACGUCAUAAUUAUUUUAUAGAACAGGAUUUGACAAAUGCUUAAGGAAAAUAGACUUCAAGUUGAAAUUGAAAAAUCUUACCUUUUUCACUUAUUUUCCCUGAUUUUUCACACUUUUUCUCUUCAAAUUCCCCACCUAGGGUUUGUUCUCUUCCUUUUUCCCUUUGUUCUUG
This 7647-nucleotide long non-coding RNA is filed under the name Theobroma cacao (cacao). RNAcentral describes it as "long non-coding RNA (TCAC_LNC001288)". Lineage: Eukaryota; Viridiplantae; Streptophyta; Magnoliopsida; Malvales; Malvaceae. The record is from RNAcentral.